RNAcentral lists this ribosomal RNA (502 nucleotides) under uncultured bacterium. RNAcentral describes it as "partial 16S ribosomal RNA". It matches the Rfam family "Bacterial small subunit ribosomal RNA", at positions 28 to 507 of the family's 1533-position model. The record is from RNAcentral.
GACGAACGCUGGCGGCGUGCCUAAUACAUGCAAGUCGAACGAACCGCGACUAAGUGCUUGCACUAAGUCAAGGUGAGUGGCGAACGGGUGAGUAACACGUGGGUAACCUACCUCAUAGUGGGGGAUAACAGUCGGAAACGACUGCUAAUACCGCAUAGGACAUAGAAUCACAUGAUCCAGUGAGGAAAGGUGGCGCAAGCUAUCGCUAAGAGAUGGACCCGCGGUGCAUUAGCUAGUUGGUAGGGUAAAGGCCUACCAAGGCGAUGAUGCAUAGCCGACCUGAGAGGGUGAUCGGCCACAUUGGGACUGAGACACGGCCCAAACUCCUACGGGAGGCAGCAGUAGGGAAUCUUCCGCAAUGGACGCAAGUCUGACGGAGCAACGCCGCGUGAGUGAAGAAGGUCUUCGGAUCGUAAAGCUCUGUUGUUAGAGAAGAACAGCGCAUAGAGUAACUGCUAUGCGUGUGACGGUAUCUAACCAGAAAGCCACGGCUAACUACGUG